CCUACGGGGGGCUGCAGUGGGGAAUAUUGGACAAUGGGGGGAACCCUGAUCCAGCCAUGCCGCGUGUGUGAAGAAGGCCCUCGGGUUGUAAAGCACUUUCAGUGAGGAAGAACGCCUGGUGGUUAAUACCCAUCAGGAAAGACAUCACUCACAGAAGAAGCACCGGCUAACUCCGUGCCAGCAGCCGCGGUAAUACGGAGGGUGCGAGCGUUAAUCGGAAUUACUGGGCGUAAAGCGCGCGUAGGUGGCUUGAUAAGCCGGUUGUGAAAGCCCCGGGCUCAACCUGGGAACGGCAUCCGGAACUGUCAAGCUAGAGUGCAGGAGAGGAAGGUGGAAUUCCCGGUGUAGCGGUGAAAUGCGUAGAGAUCGGGAGGAAUACCAGUGGCGAAGGCGGCCUUCUGGACUGACACUGACACUGAGGUGCGAAAGCGUGGGUAGCAAACAGGAUUAGAUACCCCUGUAGUC
RNAcentral lists this ribosomal RNA (465 nucleotides) under Vreelandella stevensii. RNAcentral describes it as "partial 16S ribosomal RNA". It matches the Rfam family "Bacterial small subunit ribosomal RNA", at positions 338 to 795 of the family's 1533-position model. Lineage: Bacteria; Pseudomonadati; Pseudomonadota; Gammaproteobacteria; Oceanospirillales; Halomonadaceae. The record is from RNAcentral.